Molecule: long non-coding RNA, 314 nt
Filed under: Capsicum annuum
Lineage: Eukaryota; Viridiplantae; Streptophyta; Magnoliopsida; Solanales; Solanaceae
Description: long non-coding RNA (CANN_LNC009334)
Source: RNAcentral
UACAUUCCAUUUUCCACAAUGAAAUUGGCAGAUAAUGAGCAAUGGAAUAUUCAAGAGUCCAGUGCACAGGGUAUUGAGUAAUUCAGAGAGGGAUAGAAUUUCUAUCGCAAUGUUCUACACGCCUGAAGUAGGGCAAGAAAUCGGACAAGAAGAUAGCUUAGUUAAUGAAGACAGACCAAAGAUGUACAAGACAGUGAAAGAUUAUGCAGAUACUCACAUGGAGUUUUACCGGCGUGGUGAGAGAUCAAUACACACUGCCCAAAUUUAGAGCUAGAUAUGUUUUUCCUCUCUACUUUUUGUUGUUUUGACAUGGC